CAGCCAUGAUGACUCCAUGAAAUUACAUAGACCUUACAUAGACAUAGACAUUAAACGCUACUUUGAGCGACGUGGCCCCCGCACACACAAGCUUCAUCAUGGUCCGGGAUUAUAAACGAAAAAGCAACAGGCAGUCAUGGAGCGAGGAGAAUAUGAAGGGAGCCAUAGACGCAAUGAAUAAUGGUACCUCCUUAAGAAAAGCAUGUGCUGAAUUUCAUGUUCCAAAAACAACUCUCCGAAGAAGAGUUAAGGACACGAACAAGUUCGCCAAAGGUCAUGGAAAGAUUAUGGGGAAUUACAAGACUGUAUUCCCACUGGAGUUGGAGAAAGACUUGGUUGAUUACGUUCUACACCUUGAGACUCUUAUGUAUGGUCUGACGACAAAUGACGUACGCAAUCUGGCCUAUCAACUAGCCGUUAGAAAUGGACUGCCAAAUUCGUUUAACAAAACCAAGGAAAAGGCUGGGAAGGAUUGGCUCCUGAGCUUCAUGAAGCGACACCCUGACUACAACCCCACAACU
Molecule: long non-coding RNA, 521 nt
Organism: Priapulus caudatus
Lineage: Eukaryota; Metazoa; Priapulida; Priapulimorpha; Priapulimorphida; Priapulidae
Exons: 3
Source: RefSeq, a predicted model, not a curated record